This is a long non-coding RNA of Girardinichthys multiradiatus, 815 nucleotides long. RefSeq lists it as uncharacterized. The transcript has 3 exons. The record is from RefSeq and is a predicted model, not a curated record. Lineage: Eukaryota; Metazoa; Chordata; Actinopteri; Cyprinodontiformes; Goodeidae.
UGUGUCCCUAACCCAGUUUGAAAACCCCCCCAUAAAAAACAUGCAAAUGAAGUUGUUCACUUUUCUUGGGUAAAUGUGUAAUUUAACACUCUUAUCUUUGUCUUAUCAGUUAUGGAUGGUCUACUGACUCUUGUGGAGCCUUCUGGCCCAAAACUCCUCCAUGCAGUUUGAUUAGUCUUUAUACUUAACAUGUGUUUUUAGAAUGGAUUAGAGUACACUCAAUUUUGUAUCUUUCAUUAUAGGACGAUCAUGAAAACACUGUCUGCUGCCACAGAGAAGGACCAGACACGGAUAACUUUUAAAGGAACAAUGGUGGACAUUCAGGUGAAGAGGGUCCAUCCACCUCUGUAGCACAACUUGCCCCUGUAAGAAGUUAAUGCACCAUGUAAAACAACAGUACAAGAUCUACUUACAAGAAAACACAGAAACAUGUGGAAUCAGAAAGGAAUACCUAAAAAUGCAGCUGCAGAAAACACAAACUGAAAUAAAAUAUAACCGCUGGAGCAUCAGCUAAAUGUGGGUAAGGUGACCACAGAGGUGGAUGAUUUUAUUCAUUUUUUAACAAAAUAUUAAUAACUACUGUAUUUUCACUUGCAGGCAAUGAUGAAAUAUAAGGACUAUUGUCUUUAGUUCGGAGGCGAUUGGUGAAUCAGAAAUUAUUAUAACAGACUGAAUCUCUAACUGCUUGGCCAUCUGUCACCUCAAUGCCGUGGUUCACGUCAUCUGGAACAAUUUCUUCAUAAACAGGACAGUUUCACCUGUAAUAGUGGCCAUGUUGCUACACAACAUGGCCUCAACAUAUGAGAAAUAAGUUA